GGGAUACCCGCUGAACUUAAGCAUAUC
RNAcentral lists this ribosomal RNA (27 nucleotides) under Pyrenochaeta sp. AP1s5-JAC1a. RNAcentral describes it as "partial 28S ribosomal RNA". RNAcentral also lists the same sequence under 1 other name. Lineage: Eukaryota; Fungi; Ascomycota; Dothideomycetes; Pleosporales; Cucurbitariaceae. The record is from RNAcentral.